CAGCAGCCACGGGAAUACGUAGGGUGCAAGCGUUAAUCGGAAUUACUGGGCGUAAAGCGUGCGCAGGCGGCUUGUUAAGACAGAUGUGAAAUCCCCGGGCUCAACCUGGGAACUGCAUUUGUGACUGGCAAGCUAGAGUGUGGCAGAGGGGGGUGGAAUUCCGCGUGUAGCAGUGAAAUGCGUAGAUAUGCGGAGGAACACCGAUGGCGAAGGCAGCCCCCUGGGCCAACACUGACGCUCAUGCACGAAAGCGUGGGGAGCAAACAGGAUUAGAUACCCCUGUAGUCCCUGUCUCUUAUAA
This 301-nucleotide ribosomal RNA is filed under the name uncultured bacterium. Its description in RNAcentral is "partial 16S ribosomal RNA". It matches the Rfam family "Bacterial small subunit ribosomal RNA", at positions 509 to 809 of the family's 1533-position model. The record is from RNAcentral.